RNAcentral lists this ribosomal RNA (253 nucleotides) under uncultured bacterium. RNAcentral's name for it is "partial 16S ribosomal RNA". It matches the Rfam family "Bacterial small subunit ribosomal RNA", at positions 524 to 776 of the family's 1533-position model. The record is from RNAcentral.
UACGAAGGGGGCUAGCGUUGUUCGGAAUCACUGGGCGUAAAGGGCUCGUAGGCGGCCUGAUAAGUCGGGGGUGAAAGCCUGUGGCUCAACCACAGAAUUGCCUUCGAUACUGUUAGGCUUGAGACCGGAAGAGGUAAGUGGAACUGCGAGUGUAGAGGUGAAAUUCGUAGAUAUUCGGAAGAACACCAGUGGCGAAGGCGACUUACUGGACACAUAUUGACGCUGAGGUGCGAAAGCGUGGGGAGCAAACAGG